UGAGACCUCUUGAUGGCCGCGGCUGUAGUUGACUUUGGUCAGUACUGCUGAGGAACUUCCGGGCUCCAUAGAGCACGAUGGCGGAUAACGUCCGCCCAGGGCGACCUGAGAGCAAGCGCAACAGAAAGCAAACCGCCCGAUCAAUCGGGUAAGGGUGAAACGGCGGUGCAAGAGACCACCGGGCCGCUGGUAACAGUCGGCCGCAAGGCAAGCCUCAUCGGGAGCAAGGCCAAGCAGAAGGCACGCCAUGGCGUUCGACAUGGCAAGGGUUGCUCGCCCGGCCUUCGGGUAGGCCGCUAGAGCCUGGCGGCAACGCCAGGUCGAGAUGGAUGGCCAUCCGCGUGGAAACACGUGACAAAACCCGGGGUAUACGAGGUCUCACCCC
This 385-nucleotide RNase P RNA is filed under the name Bifidobacterium commune. Its description in RNAcentral is "Bacterial RNase P class A". It matches the Rfam family "Bacterial RNase P class A". Rfam says of the family: Ribonuclease P (RNase P) is a ubiquitous endoribonuclease, found in archaea, bacteria and eukarya as well as chloroplasts and mitochondria. Its best characterised activity is the generation of mature 5'-ends of tRNAs by cleaving the 5'-leader elements of precursor-tRNAs. Cellular RNase Ps are ribonucleoproteins. Lineage: Bacteria; Bacillati; Actinomycetota; Actinomycetes; Bifidobacteriales; Bifidobacteriaceae. The record is from Rfam by way of RNAcentral.